AACAGUUUGAGCAUUAAUUUUAAUUGAUGCUUUCGCAUCAGGUAGUGUAGCAAUUUCGUCUUCUGAAAGAUCUAAAGCUUUAUAAAUAUUAAAAUACCAAAAGUGAGGACCUCCUAAUUUCAUUGUUGGAUUUAACAUAGCAGCUACACCAAAAAUAUGAGGGAUAGGAAAAAAAUAUUGUUUAAACUUUUGUUUCAUUUCAUUUAUUGCAAGUUCAUAAAUAUCCCCACCCUCGCUAAAUUCAACAAAUAAAUCAGCUAGUGCAGCAAUAUAAACUAAACAGUUAGAAAUAGUCGGAUAAUAUUGCCCAGAAAAAGCAUUUGUAGCAACUUGAAAAUGUUCUAAAAAAUCUAUUUAACAUUAGUCCAAUCUUGGGUAGUUAGCAUUUCGUCAUCAUCCUCACCACCUACCCGAGAAUUAAACGUAGCAUUAA
Molecule: long non-coding RNA, 433 nt
Filed under: Nicotiana benthamiana
Lineage: Eukaryota; Viridiplantae; Streptophyta; Magnoliopsida; Solanales; Solanaceae
Description: long non-coding RNA (NBEN_LNC032168)
Source: RNAcentral